RNAcentral lists this ribosomal RNA (590 nucleotides) under uncultured Desulfosporosinus sp. RNAcentral's name for it is "bacterial SSU rRNA". It matches the Rfam family "Bacterial small subunit ribosomal RNA", at positions 28 to 588 of the family's 1533-position model. The record is from RNAcentral. Lineage: Bacteria; Bacillati; Bacillota; Clostridia; Eubacteriales; Desulfitobacteriaceae.
GACGAACGCUGGCGGCGUGCUGUAACACAUGCAAGACGAACGGAGAAUUUCAUACGGUUUACUUAGAGGAAUUUUUAGUGACGGACGGGUGAGUAACGCGUGGGUAACCUACCCAUAAACUCGGGACAACCCUUGGAAACGAGGGCUAAUACCGAAUAAGCUYUAGGCUUGGCAUCAAGCUUAAAGAAAAGGUGGCCUCUGAAWAUGCUACCGAUUAUGGAUGGACCCGCGUCUGAUUAGCUAGUUGGUGGGGUAAAGGCCUACCAAGGCGACGAUCAGUAGCCGGCCUGAGAGGGUGAACGGCCACACUGGGACUGAGACACGGCCCAGACUCCUACGGGAGGCAGCAGUGGGGAAUCUUCCGCAAUGGACGAAAGUCUGACGGAGCAACGCCGCGUGUAUGAUGAAGGUCUUCGGAUUGUAAAGUACUGUCUUUGGGGAAGAAUGACUGGCUUGAAAAUAUUGAGUCAGUAUGACGGUACCCAAGGAGGAAGCCCCGGCUAACUACGUGCCAGCAGCCGCGGUAAUACGUAGGGGGCAAGCGUUGUCCGGAAUUAUUGGGCGUAAGGGCGCGUANGCGGAUAUUAAGU